This 1181-nucleotide ribosomal RNA is filed under the name uncultured organism. RNAcentral's name for it is "bacterial SSU rRNA". It matches the Rfam family "Bacterial small subunit ribosomal RNA", at positions 39 to 1197 of the family's 1533-position model. The record is from RNAcentral.
GCGGCGUGCCUAAGCUUAUGCAAGUCGAACGCGAACGGCUCCUUCGGGAGCCUAGUAGAGUGGCAAACGGGUGAGUAACGCGUGGGUAACGUACCCUGAUCCUGGGAAUAACCCUCGGAAACGAGGGCUAAUACCGAAUGUGGCGAACGACCGGUUGGUCGCUCGCUAAAGGUGGCCUCUUCUAUGCUGCCGGGUUGGGAUCGGCCCGCGUCCCAUUAGCUAGUUGGUGAGGUAACGGCUCACCAAGGCCACGAUGGGUAGCCGGCCUGAGAGGGUGUACGGCCACACUGGCACUGAGACAAGGGCCAGUCCCCUAUGGGAGGCGCAGGCGGGAAUAGUUCACAAUGGGCGAAAGCCUGAUGACGCGACGCCGCGUGAGCGAAGAAGACCUUCGGGUUGUAAAGCUCUGUCAGGAGGGAAGAAGGCUCUACGGGUCAAUAGCCCGUGGGAUUGACGGUACCUCCAGAGGAAGCCCCGGCUAAAUACGUGCCAGCAGCCGCGGUAAUACGUAUGGGGCAAGCGUUGUCCGGAUUUACUGGGCGUAAAGGGCGCGUAGGCGGUUUGUUAAGUCGAAGGUGAAAUCCUCGGGCUCAACUCGAGAAUUGCCUUCGAUACUGGCAAACUAGAGUGGCGGAGAGGAAAGCGGAACUCUUGGUGUAACGGUGGAAUGUGUAGAUAUCAAGAGGAACACCGGUGGCGAAGGCGGCUUUCUGGACGCACACUGACGCUCAGGCGCGAAAGCCGUGGGUAGCAAACAGGAUUAGAUACCCUGGUAGUCCACGCCAUAAACGAUGGGUACUAGGUGUCGGGGGUAUCGACCCCUCCGGUGCCGCAGUUAACGCACUAAGUACCCCGCCUGGGGAUUAUGGUCGCAAGGCUGAAACUCAAAGGAAUUGACGGGGCCCCGCACAAGCGGUGGAGCAUGUGGUUUAAUUCGACGCAACGCGAAGAACCUUACCUGGGCUUGACAUGCUUGGGACAGCGCUGGAAACAGCGUCUCUCCUUCGGGAGCCCUUGCACAGGUGCUGCAUGGCUGUCGUCAGCUCGUGUCGUGAGAUGUUGGGUUAAGUCCCGCAACGAGCGCAACCCUCGUUACUAGUUGCCAUCAGUUCGGCUGGGCACUCUAGUGAGACUGCCGGUGAUAAACCGGAGGAAGGUGAGGAUGAUGUCAAGUCAUCAUG